AGGACACGCUGGCGGCAUGCCUAACACAUGCAAGUCGAACGGAGCCAAUCGAAAGAUCCCGUUCGGGGGUGAAAUUUGAGGAAGCUUAGUGGCGAACGGGUGAGUAACGCGUGAGGAACCUGCCUUUCAGGUGGGGGACAACAGUUGGAAACGACUGCUAAUACCGCAUAAUGCAAUCGAGCGGCAUCGCUUGAUUGACCAAAGUAUUUAUUGCUAGAAAGAUGGCCUCGCGUCUGAUUAGCUAGUUGGUGAGGUAACGGCUCACCAAGGCGACGAUCAGUAGCCGGUCUGAGAGGAUGAACGGCCACAUUGGGACUGAGAUACCGGCCCAGACUCCUACGGGAGGCAGCAGGUGGGGAAUAGUUGGGCAAUGGGGGAAACCCUGACCCAGCAACGCCGCGUGAAGGAAGAAGGCCUUCGGGUUGUAAACUUCUUUUACCAGGGACGAAGAACGUGACGGUACCUGGAGAAAAAGCAACGGCUAACUACGUG
RNAcentral lists this ribosomal RNA (492 nucleotides) under uncultured bacterium. RNAcentral describes it as "bacterial SSU rRNA". It matches the Rfam family "Bacterial small subunit ribosomal RNA", at positions 33 to 507 of the family's 1533-position model. The record is from RNAcentral.